UUCUUUCUUUUUCAAUUUCGGUUUCUAUUCUACUUUUUAAUACUAUGUUUUGGAUUUCGUUCAUCAUGUCUGAGUAGUUUAUUGUUGGGAUUAAGAAAUUUUCGAUGGGGGUUUAUAUGUUCGAUGAGGAUUCCAUGAGCUUUUGAGCCGAAUCUUAGAACUUUUUCUUCUGAAUUCGUUUUUACUGCAUGAGAGUAGCGUCAUGAACUACAAUCUAAUCCAGAUGCUUGGUGACACGAAAGUGUUCAUCAGAUCUAGUUUUGGAGAGCAAAACAAACAUAGGAGUGGAAACCUACCUAUGGACGAUUUGUGAAUGCUGACGAGUCUUAAAGAUAAUGCAUCUCUUCUUUUCCUGGGCCAGAGUGGAAACCUACUGGUCAGGGUUGAGAGAGAUAGUUGUCUAUGAUCACGACAAUGGCGUAUUCAUACGUCCGUGACUCCAGUUCGAAAAGUUUAAGCUAAGAUCUUAUCAAUUUUACUCUCUAGCAAUGUUUUGAAUCGUUCGUACCCCUGAGAAAACUUCCCUGAAGCCCAAUGCUUUCUUUCUUAUAGAUUCACACCGUUUUUAUUUCAAGCUUUAGUUCAAUAUUCUCAUUCUUUUUUAGUCGAUUUUCAUUUAAGCAAUUAGAUUAGCCGUUUUUCCCGUUUUUACCUGUUUUCGUUAAGUUUAGUUAUUAGGUCAUUUUAAUUCCCGUAUCUUCUCUUUAAGAUUCGUUUUUACAUAUUAAACACACCACCAAAACCCCCACAAAACCGUUUGGUUCUAGACUUCCUUACUUUAUAUUUCUUUCGAAGGCUUUUGCAGGAAAGAUCCUCCUUCCCUGUGGAUUCGAUCCCUAAGUACUACAAUCGAUCAGCUGUGCACUUGCGGCUAUUGAUUUCAUUUAGGGUAAAAAUUGACAACCCUCAACACCACACCGACACCCACAUCAAGUUUUUGGCGCCGUUGCCAGGGAAGGCACGCAUUUUGUUUUCCGCAAAACCCCAAGAAAGGUUGGUAAAUCGACUCUAGAACCCCUUUUCUGCUUAUUUCCAUUUUUCGGUUAUUUUGUUUCCAUUUCAGAAGAUAUGGAUCCUAUAAAUCGAAAUACACACUAUGAGGAAGGUUUCUAUAACACUCCUCAAGCCACCAGACGCAGAGAGAAGCAGUACUUACACGAUCUCUACGAAGAAAUUCAAACCGAAGACUACAGAACGUUCCAGAACGAGCCCUACGUACCUCCAAUGGCAAACCCUAGAUAUCCUAUGUAUCGCCUACCUCACCAGGUCCUCCACCGUGAUGAGAACGUCCUGCUCAGCAACCGAUUGAGCCAGCUCGAAGGUGUGAUCAGGCAGUUCAUAGAGGCUCGAGCAACCGCUACAGCCGCUCUAAACGAAAAGAUUGACGUGAUAUCAAAACUUUUCAAUGAGAAGAUCGAUAACCUAGCCUCACAAGUCAAUUCAAUAGAAGAAAGAGCAACCAAGGACGCAGCCAUGAUCGCUAACAAGUUCAACAGCAUGGAGGAGGAGCAAGCAAAGCACACCUAUGAGCUUCGCAACACCAAAAAAAAAGUCAUGGACCUGGAUUUCAAACUUGAUGAUGUGGACAAAGCCCUAAACGAAGCUAAGAACGAGUCUUAUGACUUCACAGUCGAAGUUUCAGAGAAGGUUUACAAAGUCAUUGACAAAACCAAAGAGCUUGACUCAACCAUGGACAAAGUAGUCUAUGCUCUUGAUGAGGUUGAAGAAAAGGUUGAGGAGAUCAUACAAGGACUUGGAGAGCAGAUUCCAGCAACCAAAACUAAAGACUCAAGUCCAGAGAGGAAGUACAUCAAACCAGAAGACCCAGGAGACGAUCCAGGAAGCAAAGGAGCAAGCAACAGCAGCAGAUCAACUCGGAGACACUUCCCCGCGGUCGCGUCACCUCCGACCGCGGCCAAGAAGCCCCUCCCCGCGAUCGUGUUAGGUCUACCCGUGGCCUAUGGUCGUUUUCCCGCGGUCGCGUCACCUGCAGUCAAGGCCAACCGGAAAAACGUUCCAAAACAGUCCCGUUCGACUCAUACAAGCAUCUGUACGUCUGAUACACCUCCUGGGAUGACUAACCACUCCAUCAACAACUGGUUUGCUCCAUCAGCACCCAAAGAUCUGAAGACAAGGACAAGUCAUGGUCCUGCAACAUGGCUUUGUCUUGUGAAGAUGAGUAUGAAGAGCAAUACUCUGAAGAUGAAGAGUAUGGGUUGUUUGUAGAAGAUCCAAACGCAGGAUAUUGCUCAGAGGACAAUUCAGGAGAAAUUCAAUGGAUCACAAACAACAUCAGUAGAGAGAAGCUAAUGGAGUUCAACAACGUAGUCAGGUCAUUCCCUGCUCACCUAAGCUUUGAUGAAAUUUGGAAGCUUGGUCGUUUGCAAGUCUUGUUCAGGUACUGCAAGGAGUCUAAAAAGGAUCCAUAGAUACUUUCUGAGAGCUCGAUGCAUGACAACACCAGAAGCAGCUGUCUAUGCGAUUCACCUCAAAAAGCCCGAAGACUGCAGCCACUACACCAACAAAAUCAGCAAAGAGAAGCUCGACGAAUUCAAUGAUGUAGUUCGAAAUUUGCCUGAAGGAAUCACCUUUGCCAGAGCUUGCAAGGACUUCAUGAUAGGCCACUACUUCUGUGAGAGCAAGGAAUCAAUCCCUGAGAUAGAAGAUUUGUUCAACCAUGCAAGAAGAGGUAAACCUGUUCGAACACUUCACAAAAUCGAAGGUGUAGGUCAGUUUCUUAUCUCUUGUUCUAUUAGAGGAGAAAUGUUUAAAAACGUGCUAUGUGAUUCUGGAGCUUGUCUUAACAUGAUGUCCAAGGCAAUUGCUUUGAGACUUGGUAUUAAACACCUGCGCAGGACUAGAGCAAAGAUUAGUCUAGCUGAUGGUUCCAAUGCAACACCUCAAGGAAUAUCUCAUGAAAUUCCUUUGAGAAUAGGAGAUUGCAUAGUGCCUGUCGACUUCUACAUUGUCGAGACGAGAGAUGCAACAUAUCCAGUGAUUCUCGGAUGGUCUUUUCUAGCAACUUCCAGAGCUAUAAUGGACUGGCCAAACCGGAGGAUUUCAUUUGCUAAUAUCGACAAAGAUGUCUGCACAGAAGCUGUCCCAUACAACAGCAAAGCAGGAAAACGUUCUGCAACAGAAGAGUUUGAAGAAGAACUUUGGAGUGACGAAGAACCUGCUAGGCAAAGCAAGGAGAUGUCGAAAAGACUUGUCUCAGGACAAGUUCUUCUUCAUUGGACUAAGCCACGUCCAACACCAAAAGUCGAGCUAAACGACUUAAAACAGAAGCGCUUAAUGGGAGGCAACCCAUUUAGGUAUUGUUUUCUUUAGGAUUUUUCUUUCUUUUUCUAUUGAUCUUUUUCUUUUUCUUAGUUUUAGGUAUUUCUUAUAAGAUAAAAAGCCAAAAAAAUCAAAAAAACCCGAAAAAACCAAAAAGAAGGAUGGUCCCUGACUGCUCGGCCCAGCAGGAACCAAGGAGAAGCAGGAAGAGGCCGCGAAAUAAGCCCCGCGGUCGCAGACGUUCUGACCGCGGGAAACGCCUCUUCGACCGCGGUCGCGUGUUUCUGACCGCGGCCAAGCACCUGUUUACCACGGUCGCGUGGCUCCUGACCGCGUCCAAGUACCUGUUUACCGCGGUCGCGUGGCUCCCGACCGCGGCAAAUGGUCGUUGAGAUCAAACCCGACCCCAAACCACCCACUUCACCCCAUUCCACCUCACCAAUCCCCACUCCACCUCAUUCAUCACCCUCCACCACCUUCAUCACCACCUAUCACCUUCCCAAACCUCCUCGAAUGAACCCGGUUCAUCUCCACCAGCAUCUCGGAUCCAGGUAAGUUCUCUUUGGAUUUACCAAUUCGAUUAUCUAUGCAUUUUUCUCAUCCAGUCUCGACUUGUUUCACACUGAGGACAGUGUGAUUUAAGUCUGGGGGAGGAUUUCAUCCCUUUCUAACCACUUUUCUUUCAUGAGUCUUGCAUUAUCUACACUUUUUGCAUUUUCCUUAAAGUUUUUCAAAAUCGGUUUUCAAAACAAAAUACGUUUUAAAAGGGAAUGGUGAACAUGAAUCAAUGAUAGUUGACUGUGUGCUUUUAGACUGUUCCUAGUGACAUGCUCAUUCAUGAUUUAGGACUAGACUAGGCGGUAGCUAAGCACAUUUGAAACGAAGUACCCCAGAGGAAUUUGAAUGAUUUCGAUUUAGAUGAAGGGAUACACUAGCUCUGUUUUAUUUGGACUUAAUCUGGACUUAACUUUCUCAUUGAAGCUUUAGACCAGGGAAACGAAUCAUACAUUCAGGACUCCUUUAUCCUUUUACCACUCUCAGUUGAUCCUGAAUGGCUAGUUCAUCUUUAGCUAGUUCCCCACCUUAACCAAUCCUCUUUCAAACCACAUGCACUCUUGUUUUCUAUUGUCUUAUAUGCAGAUUAGUGCAAAAACGUUGGAGAGAAAGAGGAACGACGCAGUUUUCAGUCAUCAAGGACAGAGACCUACGAUUUGCCAGAAAAGUUCCCGGAAGGAUUUAACACAAGAGAAAGCUCAGUUUGCUUUAGAAAGAUCUCAAAUUUUGUUAUAAUCUCGUCAUCUAGUCUCUCUUUCUUUAAAAGGCAUUUCCUUUUCAAAAACAAAAAACAAAAAAAUCCGAAAAUAAGAAAAGAAGGAAAUAAAAGCCUUAGAGAGUCUAGAGAGGUCAAAUUUUAAGUCCCAAGGCAACUGGAGUUCGAUUUUAUGGAGUUUUGGAGAUCAUUUUCUGAUUCCCGGAAAGAAUCUAAGUCUGGGGGAAUAGCUGUUUACAACAAAGGAGGAAGGAUUAUGCAACAACAUUUGGCAAGAAGAAGUGACUGAAAAUUGCGGUCAUCAACAAGUUCUUAUCUCUCUUGCGGUUUUGCAUAUUAUCUUGCAUCCUCCAGAUCUUCAGGUAACCCGAAACACUUUAACUCCAUCACUUAAACAGCCAUUUAAUGCCAAACGCCGUCUACCCUGGAUGAUGUCUUUAAUGAGAACUCACUAUUGAACUUAAUGAAUGUAGAGAGCUAGUUGACUAGAAUCAAGAUUUAGAUUGUUUAAGUUUUGCAUGACGGAAAAAGGGGACUAGUAUCUCUUGUGCAUUGGUGAGAAUUUUCUAGACUAAGUUGUGGAUUGAUGCACUACCUUUGUUCCUAGUUUAGGAGUUCAUGUCUAUGAGAUUUGUGCAUUUCCUAUUUUUGUUUUCACUUAACCAGUUUAGGCUUUUGCUUUGUUUGAGGACAAACAAAGUUUUAAGUCUGGGGGAGUUGAUAACACCAUAUUUUGACCACUUUUAUGGAUCAUUUUGAAAUACUUUUUCUAUGCUUUUAAUUGCUUUUAAGUACUUUUAUUACGCUUUUCUAGUAUUUGUAGUUCCAAGACUCUUUUCAGGUAACUUAUGGAAAAGCUUAACAAAAUGGAUAGAAAACCAGAUUUCAGCUCAGAGUCAAAUCGUCAGAAGUUCACCCCUGAUUGAAGGCCUUCUCACCGUCUGAUCCAGCUCAAAUUUGGAGAUCUUAAAGAUGGAAGUAUCAGCUUUCCAGCACACUUUACAGCUUGGCAAUCCAACAGUUCAAUCAAAGGAUACGCGAAGAGCAAGAUGUCCCGUAAACCAGCCGGUGACCGUUUCCACCCGCGGUCAACUGAGCAUUUCCCGCGGUCAGAAGCACCGCGACCGCGGCCAGCAACCCAUUCCCUGCGGUCACAGCCAUCCCGACCGCGGCCAACUACCUCCGAGCCCGAAGGCCCAUUUCUGAAGCCCAAAAUGAUUCCCUCAUUUGGAGAAACCCUAAGUGACGCCUAGAGAUGUCUUGAGCACUAUAAAUACAUGUCCUAGGAACCCUAAUUCGUACGAUGCCUUCAUAUGUUCUUAUUGUUUUUGAAUACUUUUUAAGUUUUAGGUUUUAGAGAGAGAGAGAGAUUUGUCUCUUGAACCCUUGUUCUUUCUUUUUCAAUUUCGGUUUCUAUUAUACUUUUUAAUACUAUGUUUUUGAUUUCGUUCAUUAUGUCUGAGUAGUUUUAUUGUUGGGAUUAAGGGAUUUUCGAUGGGAAUUUAUAUGUUCGAUGAGGAUUCCAUGAGCUUUUGAGCCGAAUCUUAGAACUUUUUCUUGUGAAUUCGUUUUUACUGCAUGAGAGUAGCGUCAUGAACUACAAUCUGAUCCAGAUGCUUGGUGACACGAAAGUGUUCAUCCGGUGUCAGAUCUAGUUUGGUAGAGCAAAAAAAACAUAGGAGUGGAAACCUACCUAUGGGCGAUUUGUGAAUGCUGACGAGUCUUAAACAUAAUGCAUCGCUUCUUUUCCAGGGCCAGAGUGGAAACCUACUGGUCAGGGUUGAGAGAGAUAGUUGUCUAUGAUCACGACAGUGGCGUAUUCAUACGUCGGUGACUCCAGUUCAAAAAACAUUAAGCUAAGAUCUUAUCAAUUUUACUCUCUAGCAAUGUUUUGAAUCGUUCGUACCCCUGAGAAAACUUCCCUGAAGCCCAACGCUUUCUUUCUUAUAGAUUCA
Molecule: long non-coding RNA, 6504 nt
Filed under: Eutrema salsugineum
Lineage: Eukaryota; Viridiplantae; Streptophyta; Magnoliopsida; Brassicales; Brassicaceae
Description: long non-coding RNA (ESAL_LNC000529)
Source: RNAcentral